Molecule: ribosomal RNA, 490 nt
Filed under: uncultured bacterium
Lineage: Bacteria
Description: bacterial LSU rRNA
Rfam family: Bacterial large subunit ribosomal RNA
Source: RNAcentral
GGGAUGGACCGCCUCGGCGGAAAGUCAAACUGAGUGAUUCUAUGCUUCCGAGAAAAGCUGCGGGCCGAGCAUUCCGGCUGUCCGUACCGCAAACCGACUCAGGUGGGCGGGAAGAGUAUUCCAAGGCGUUUGAGAGAACCGUGGUUAAGGAACUAGGCAAAUUGACACCGUAACUUCGGGAUAAGGUGUGCCUCCGAGGUAGAGCUGAACAGGCCGAGCCAGAAGAGGUCGCAGAGAAUUGGGGGUAGCGACUGUUUACCAAAAACACAGGACUGUGCGAAGUCACGAAGACGACGUAUACGGUCUGACGCCUGCCCGGUGCUGGAAGGUUAAGAGGAGAGGUUAGAGCAAUCGAAGCUUUGAAUCGAAGCCCCAGUAAACGGCGGCCGUAACAAUAACGGUCCUAAGGUAGCGAAAUUCCUUGUCGGUAAGUUCCGACCUGCACGAAUGGCGUAACGACUUCCCGCUGUCUCAACCAUGGACUCAGUGG